RNAcentral lists this long non-coding RNA (3992 nucleotides) under Cricetulus griseus (Chinese hamster). Its description in RNAcentral is "lncRNA (ENSCGRG00015039327.1)". The record is from RNAcentral. Lineage: Eukaryota; Metazoa; Chordata; Mammalia; Rodentia; Cricetidae.
GUCUUCCCUUUAAAAACUCCAACCUCUCUCUCUCUGUCUCUCUGUCUCUCUCUCUCUCUCUCUCUCUCUCUCUCUCUCUCUCUCUCUCUCCUUUCUCUGUUUCUUCUUGGCUCUCUAUGGCCACCGGCCAUGCCAGUCAGCCAUUACCGCUGUUCCUCUUCUCUCUCGGUCUCCCUACUCUGCCGGGCUAUAUAAUAAACUAGUCAACAUGUCUCAUUUUAAAGCUUUCUCUUUUCCUUUUUUUUUAAAAUAAAAACCUAACAGACCAGCUCCCAAAUUAUGACAUGAGAUUCUUAUUAGUCAUGAAUGCUUGGCCUAGCUUAGGCUCAUUUUUGGUGAGCCCUUUUAACUUUAAUUAACCUGUUUCUCUUUAUCAACCUUUUGCCUUGCGCCUUUUUCCUUUUCUUCUGUAUAUCUUACUUUCACUGCUUCUUUUGUCUGGCUGGCUGGUGGCUGCCUGGCUUCUUGGCUCAGCCAUGUCCCUCUCCUUAUUCUCUCCUCCUUAGUCUUUCCUCUCUUUCUGCCUGCCAGCCUCUCCUAGCCUUUCUUUGUCUAGCUAUUGGGUGUUCAGCUUUUUACUAGACCCAUCAGGUGCCUUGGGCAGGCAAGAAGAGGACCUUGCCCUGGGCUGGAAGCAACCACCCUUAAAUGCAGAAAUGAGGUUGAGCUCACUCUGGGGUCUAGCAGCCGGAAUGCCCUCUUGCUGAGAUUCAGAACAGAUGAAUCAACCCCACAGCAGCCCUCUGAGGACAAGGCCACAGCAGGGCUCCUUCAGUGCUACCCCACCCCCAGCUUGGUGAACAGUGGAGAACUCUGCCUGCCAGAAGGGCUGGGAGGAUUUAUGCAACAGACUGCACAUAUUUAAGUCAUGGGAGCCUGUCUGCAGCUCAUGGCGCAUAGGCUGCUUAGUUUCACUGUAGAAGAAGACAAGCCAUGUCGAUCUUCUCCAAAUCACUUAGGCUUCCCAGGUGCCACUGUUUCUUCAUGCGCCUAUACUGGCCUCUCUCUGCCUACUUCCUGUCUGCCCAUUGGAGGUUGUGGGACUUGCAGAAUCAUCACACGAGGCUGCAUCUUAGCGCUCACUUGUGAAGGCGGGAGAUCCACGAUGGGGCAGCUGUAUCUGCUGAGUGUUUGGUGAAGCCUGGGGCAUGAGAAGCGGAGGGAGCAGGCACUCAUGGAGACAAAUACUCAGAAUAACGGAGCUUCAGAACAACCUUGUCAAGGACUAAUGCAGUCCCAGGAGAGGGAGAGCUCACCCACUCCCAAGAUGGAAGCAAUCUAUUCACGGUGAUGCCAUCUCCAUAAAUCAAACACCUCCCACUCUCCACGCUAACUGACAAGGCAGGAGGCCCCAGCAUGAGUUUUGAUGGGAAUAAACCAUAUUCAAAUGAUACAGCUAUUACUUAUAAAAAUCCUCAAAAGCAUCAACAAAAAUAUAGGUUUUUGCAGUGGAAUGAUUAGUUCAGACUCAUGCUUAAGUGCUCAGCUUUUGAUGAAAUGGAGAAUUACCUGCCAGUCUCCCUCUUCAUGCAAAGGGUUUGUGUUGUACCUCACAAAAUGGGACUGCUCGGCUGCUUAACAACAAACGUGCUCAGCUCUAAGGUCUUUCCAGCAGAUGGACCUCAAGUGUGAACUACCUCUUGCAGGUGCUUGUGUUAGAGGCGUGUCCAGAGUGGCCCCAAAGCCUCCACAGCUGUGCCACCUCAUCAGGGGGCCCUAUGCCCUCAGAUUCUCUCAAGAGGGAGGAAGAAAUAAAGACAGCCAUCAGACUAAAAAUAGUAUAAAUUAAAAGUGGGCAAUUUCCCCUCUGUGUUUUGUUGAAAUAUUUCUCUUUCUCUCAAUAUAAGUGAUUGUCUGGAUCUGCAGCCUACCACACUCACAGAUUCAAUGAACAUGAGAUAAAAGCAUUCCAAAUCAAACCAAAUCUUUACUGAGCUUGUACAGGCUCUUCCUGUGUUACUCCCUAAGCAGUACAUUAUGGUAACUAUUCACAUGUCUCAUUGUAUUGGAGGACAUCGUUAAGUCAGAAAUGGUUCAUGUGUACAGGAUAGGCAUAGGUUACAUGCAGCAACUAUACCACUUUAUAUUAAAGAUUUAAGUAGUUUUGGUGUUCAAGGAAGACCCUACAUGCACCUCCCUCCAGUAAAUAACAAGGGAUUAUUGGAUCCUCUUUUUAUUUUUUCAGGUUUUAACUUUCCAGGCACCUGUGAUAGUUUAAUUCCUCCACAUGGGUGAAGUCAGGAAUACCUAGGGCAUACCUUUGGGUGUUUCUGUGAGAGUGUUUCUGAGAGGAUUAGCUGUGGGACAGAAGCUCUACCUUGAAUGUGGGCUGCACCAUUGCUUGGACUAGGGUCCAUAACAGAAUAAAUAUGGAAAAAAUGAGAACACCAGCUGAGUCGUGGCCUGAACCUUUCUCUGCUUCCUGAUUAUGCCAUGAACUAGGCCACUUCAGUAUCAAUCCUUCCCUAUUGUGAUGGACUGGACCCUCUCAAACCUUAAGCCAAAACAAAGGCUCUUUCCAUAUGUUACUUUUGGCCAGUAUUUGGUCAUAGGAGCAAAAAAGUAAGGAUUGUAGCACCUUUUCCUGCUCCUGGUAAAACUACUCCUUUACUAACAAGUAACUUGGAUGAAUGGACACCCUAAACUUUAGUUUUCUAAUCUGCAAAGUGGAUAUGAGUUCAAGCUUGAGGUUAUGAGAACAAGAUUAUUUAAUUCAACUAAAGCAGGUUUAGCCUAGAACCCAGUAUUUAGGGCACAAUACGUACUUAAUGAAUGUCAAAUGUAAUGUGAUGAGCAACAUUUGUGGCAUUGACUACAGUAAAGUGCCAUUACAGAAACAGACAAACUUCACAUCUUCCAGUAGUAGAUUUUGGAAUCUUACCUGUUAAAUUGUCACAAUCAGUGGCCAACUUGACAUACAGUAUUUUUUUCCCCAGUAAAAAUAAGGAGGAUUUGUUGGUUGUGUUAUUUGUUGAAAAACUCCAAGUCCUUGUCAACUAUCUCUUCUUUGAGGGGAAUUUUAAAAAUAAUGCCUAAUGGUCAUGUCAGCAAUAAUUUGAUAUCUCAGUGUUUGAAUAGAUUGUAUAAAAAUAUAAUGUUUACAUUGCAUGUAAAUAGAUUUAAAAGUUUUUAGAUUUGUUUUAUAUUUUGCAUAUAAAUGCUUUGCUUGCGAGAAUGUAUAUGUACCACUCGUUUGCCUGAUGCCAAGAGAAGUCAGAAGAGGGCUUCAUAGUCACUGGAACUGGAGCUAUGGAUGGUUAUGAACCAUCAUGUGGGUGCUGGGAAUUGAUUCUAGGUCCUCUGCAAGAGCAACAAGGGCUCUUAACCACUAAGCAAUCUCUCUAGCCCCAUAAUGAAUUUAAUACAAUUAGUUGCAUAUAAAAUAAUGACAUAUUUAUAACAUUUAAGUAUAUCUUUAUAUAGCAUUAGAUAAAAUAUGUGUUGGGCCUGGUGGGAUACUCACAGCUUCUUGGGAGUUACAUGAGAAAGGAAGACCAAAAAUUCAAGGCCAAGAUUAGCAAGGUGGCUAGUGGGUUUAAUCCCUGAAUCCCACAUGGUAGAGGUAGAGAACUGACUUCUGCAAAUGGCCUUUUGAUGUCCACAUGUAUACUGUGGCAUGCAUACAUGAAAGAAGGAAGGAGGGAGGGAGGAAGGAAGGCGAGGGAGGAGGAGGAUGGAGGGAGAGAGAGAGAGAGAGGGAGAGAGAGAGAGAGAGAGAGAGAGAGAGAGAGAGAGAGAGAGAGAGCUUGGGCAACUUGUAAAAUUUCAAAAAAUAAAAUGUAAAAAUAAGGCUGGUGUUACAUCAUGUACAAGGUCCUAAGGGCAAUCCUCAGUAAACACACACACACACACACACACACACACACACACACCCUGAAUUCAUCACUACUUCAUUUACCUUUUAAUCCUAUUAAAGGUCCAUUAACUUCAUGGGGCUGAUUUUUGUUGCUGUUUUUCUCUUAAUCCCACAAAGAUGCAAUGUGAUAUCCAAC